GUGAGAUCAAGCUGUUGAGCAGGUGUUUUCUGGGAUUUGCCCCCACCCCACAGCAUACUCUGAAGUCAUUCACAGACUCCAUCUGCCUUUCUUGUCUUCUCUAGAGUUCUGCUCCCCAUCGCAUUUGGGUGAAUGCAGGAGCAUCAGGAAGGUUGAUGGGACAUACAGAUAGCUGUCUACUCUCUGUACAUUGACGUGAACAUCCCUCCGUAUCCGCUGCCCGAAGGACCCCCAGUCCCAACUGUGCUUGCAGGACGACCUUGUGCCGGGACCCUGCAUGUCAGUGCAUACAGAAAGGAGGCGCCGGCCUGGAUGGGAAGACUGAAUCUGUCGGCCCAGAAGAGUGUGAAGAAUCACAGCCCUCCUUCAGGACUCUUGUUUCCAGAUCUCGGGUGGCGGAUGAGGGCUCUCCAUGUCCUUCCUCAGCAAGUGGACAGUAAAGGUACCAAGGAGUCCUGGGACCUUCGAGGGGUGGCGUGAUGAAAGCAGAAGCGCGUUGGGGCUGUGGCCUCUCGUCUGCAGGGACUGCCGUGGGAUCCGGCGGCCAUGACAUGAGAAGAUACCCUGGAAGCUUCAGCAGCCCACUCUGGCCCGGCGGCCACCGUAUGCGGCGGCUCCCACCCUCUUCUCCGUCCUCUGAACUUGUAGCUACACAGCAGCGUCUCCCAGCGUCUCCCAGCUGCCUCCGCUCCCAAGUCUUACGGCUCAAGUUCGGCACAGGCAGACCUGCUGAACCUGCCUCAGCCUUGGUAAAUGGGACCCCAGGCACCAUGACUCCAGCUGGAGACGGAGCCACUGCGGUGCCCCCUGCCCCGGGCACCCCAUGCCCUUUCAUCAGUUCUCUUGGUCCCGUCUUUAAGUAUUUUUCAGACUUGUCCACUUCUUUACUACGGGCUGUAGGCUAGUCUGACUGCCCCAACCCUCUGCUGAACUUAGCUGCCGCUUACUGCCCUUGGUUCCAAUGUACAGCCCUCCCGAGCCUGCCGCCCACAGCCUGCCUCACCUUCGCAGAAACGCCGGGAUGGUGUAACUGCCCGUGCAGAGCCCUGGCUGGCGUCCAUCCUGCACCAGGACCCCGAUGUGCACUCCCUGCGGCAGCCGGGUCCAGGGUCCUCCUCAAAGCCCUCCCUCCUGCUGUGCUUAGCAGGGAGGGGCCGGCCCUGGGACCCUUCUGGUCCUGUACUGGUCCCAAUUCCUCUGCUCCUGCAGCCCAGCUGCUGAACAGCUCCCAGGAGUCGAGACUGUGGGUCCCUCCCAGCAGCUGGUGGAGAACAGCUCAGCCCAGACUCAGCCGUUUUCAAACAGAUUCCCAUUUUCAGACCAGGACAGUAAGGCCACAGGAGGCCCACCUUGGUUUUCAGAAAGGUUGCUCAUCAACUAUGCUGUUGCUUUCUCUUACAACUUGGGAUUCUAUCAGUUUCCAAACUGUGCAUACAAAUAAAUUCAUAAUAGUAGCAAUAAUCAAAAUUUUACCCCCUCCCCUACCUGAUUUUUUUUUUUUUUUUUGAGACAGUGUCUUACUAUGUAUUUCAGGCUGGCCUGAGAGUGAUCCUCCUGCCUUGGCCUCCUGCUUGCUGGGAUUGCAGGCAUGUGCUGCCAGGCCUGGAUUCCCCAUCCGUUUAUGGAGUUUUGACUCUUAUGCAGAGUUCCCUUUGGUACUGCUGGAUUCCCCUGAG
Molecule: long non-coding RNA, 1676 nt
Organism: Heterocephalus glaber (naked mole-rat)
Lineage: Eukaryota; Metazoa; Chordata; Mammalia; Rodentia; Bathyergidae
Source: Ensembl